RNAcentral lists this ribosomal RNA (289 nucleotides) under Leptocylindrus danicus. RNAcentral's name for it is "partial Bacterial large subunit ribosomal RNA". It matches the Rfam family "Bacterial large subunit ribosomal RNA", at positions 1026 to 1308 of the family's 2925-position model. Lineage: Eukaryota; Bacillariophyta; Leptocylindrophyceae; Leptocylindrales; Leptocylindraceae. The record is from RNAcentral.
CCCAGACCGCCAGCUAAGGUCCCUAAUUGAUAUGCUAAGUUAUUAAGGAAGUGCGAUUGCCGUGACAGCCAGGAUGUUGGCUUAGAAGCAGCCAUCAUUUAAAGAAAGCGUAACAGCUCACUGGUCUAAAUAAGGGGUCCCGCGCCGAAAAUGUACCGGGGCUCAAGCCAUACACCGAAACUGCGGGUGUGCACUUUGUGCACGCGGUAGCGGAGCGUUCUGUAAGUCUGCGAAGGGAGACCCGUGAGGGCUCUUGGAGAUAUCAGAAGUGCGAAUGCUGACAUGAGUA